CCUGACUGCUAUCGGAUUGAUACUAAGCCAUGCGAGUCAUUGUAGUAAUACAAGGCAGACGGCUCAGUAACGCGUAGUCAACCUAACCUAUGGACGGGAAUAACCUCGGGAAACUGAGAAUAAUGCCCGAUAGAACAUUAUGCCUGGAAUGGUUUAUGUUCCAAACGAUUUAUCGCCAUAGGAUGGGACUGCGGCCUAUCAGUUUGUUGGUGAGGUAAUGGCCCACCAAGACUAUUACGGGUACGGGCUCUGAGAGGAGUAGCCCGGAGAUGGGUACUGAGACACGGACCCAGGCCCUAUGGGGCGCAGCAGGCGAGAAAACUUUGCAAUGUGCGAAAGCACGACAAGGUUAAUCCGAGUGGUUUCUGCUAAAGGAACCUUUUGUCAGUCCUAAAAACACUAACGAAUAAGGGGUGGGCAAGUUCUGGUGUCAGCCGCCGCGGUAAAACCAGCACCUCAAGUGGUCAGGAUGAUUAUUGGGCCUAAAGCAUCCGUAGCCGGCUCUGUAAGUUUUCGGUUAAAUCUGUACGCUCAACGUACAGGCUGCCGGAAAUACUGCACAGCUAGGGAGUGGGAGAGGUAGACGGUACUCGGUAGGAAGGGGUAAAAUCCUUUGAUCUAUUGAUGACCACCUGUGGCGAAGGCGGUCUACCAGAACACGUCCGACGGUGAGGGAUGAAAGCUGGGGGAGCAAACCGGAUUAGAUACCCGGGUAGUCCCAGCUGUAAACUAUGCAAACUCAGUGAUGCAUUGGCUUAUGGCCAAUGCAGUGCUGCAGGGAAGCCGUUAAGUUUGCCGCCUGGGAAGUACGUACGCAGUAUGAWACUUAAGGAAUUGGCGKGGGAGCACCACAGGGUGAGCCUGCGUUC
RNAcentral lists this ribosomal RNA (869 nucleotides) under uncultured archaeon. Its description in RNAcentral is "bacterial SSU rRNA". It matches the Rfam family "Archaeal small subunit ribosomal RNA", at positions 21 to 902 of the family's 1478-position model. The record is from RNAcentral.